GUGCCAGCCGCCGCGGUAAUACGGAGGGUGCAAGCGUUAUCCGGAUUCACUGGGUUUAAAGGGUGCGUAGGUGGGUUGGUAAGUCAGUGGUGAAAUCUCCGUGCUUAACAUGGAAACUGCCAUUGAUACUACUGGUCUUGAAUUUUCUGGAGGUAAGCGGAAUAUGUCAUGUAGCGGUGAAAUGCUUAGAUAUGACAUAGAACACCAAUUGCGAAGGCAGCUUACUACAGGGACAUUGACACUGAGGCACGAAAGCGUGGGGAUCAAACAGGAUUAGAAACCCUCGUAGUCC
RNAcentral lists this ribosomal RNA (292 nucleotides) under uncultured bacterium. Its description in RNAcentral is "partial 16S ribosomal RNA". It matches the Rfam family "Bacterial small subunit ribosomal RNA", at positions 505 to 796 of the family's 1533-position model. The record is from RNAcentral.